RNAcentral lists this ribosomal RNA (1025 nucleotides) under uncultured organism. Its description in RNAcentral is "SSU rRNA". It matches the Rfam family "Bacterial small subunit ribosomal RNA", at positions 36 to 1068 of the family's 1533-position model. The record is from RNAcentral.
CUGGCGGCGUGCUUAACACAUGCAAGUCGAACGGAAAGGCCCUGCUUUUGUGGGGUGCUCGAGUGGCGAACGGGUGAGUAACACGUGAGUAACCUGCCCUUGACUUUGGGAUAACUUCAGGAAGCUGGGGCUAAUACCGGAUAGGAGCUCCUGCUGCAUGGUGGGGGUUGGAAAGUUUCGGCGGUUGGGGAUGGACUCGCGGCUUAUCAGCUUGUUGGUGGGGUAGUGGCUUACCAAGGCUUUGACGGGUAGCCGGCCUGAGAGGGUGACCGGCCACAUUGGGACUGAGAUACGGCCCAGACUCCUACGGGAGGCAGCAGUGGGGAAUAUUGCACAAUGGGCGGAAGCCUGAUGCAGCAACGCCGCGUGCGGGAUGACGGCCUUCGGGUUGUAAACCGCUUUCGCCUGUGACGAAGCGUGAGUGACGGUAAUGGGUAAAGAAGCACCGGCUAACUACGUGCCAGCAGCCGCGGUGAUACGUAGGGUGCGAGCGUUGUCCGGAUUUAUUGGGCGUAAAGGGCUCGUAGGUGGUUGAUCGCGUCGGAAGUGUAAUCUUGGGGCUUAACCCUGAGCGUGCUUUCGAUACGGGUUGACUUGAGGAAGGUAGGGGAGAAUGGAAUUCCUGGUGGAGCGGUGGAAUGCGCAGAUAUCAGGAGGAACACCAGUGGCGAAGGCGGUUCUCUGGGCCUUUCCUGACGCUGAGGAGCGAAAGCGUGGGGAAGCGAACAGGCUUAGAUACCCUGGUAGUCCACGCUGUAAACGGUGGGUACUAGGUGUGGGGUCCAUUCCACGGGUUCCGUGCCGUAGCUAACGCUUUAAGUACCCCGCCUGGGGAGUACGGCCGCAAGGCUAAAACUCAAAGGAAUUGACGGGGCCCCGCACAAGCGGCGGAGCAUGCGGAUUAAUUCGAUGCAACGCGUAGAACCUUACCUGGGUUUGACAUGGAUCGGGAGUGCUCAGAGAUGGGUGUGCCUCUUUAGGGGUCGGUUCACAGGUGGAGCAUGGCUGUUGUCAGCUCGUGUCGU